RNAcentral lists this ribosomal RNA (580 nucleotides) under uncultured Glomus. Its description in RNAcentral is "eukaryotic LSU rRNA". It matches the Rfam family "Eukaryotic large subunit ribosomal RNA", at positions 204 to 633 of the family's 3401-position model. Lineage: Eukaryota; Fungi; Glomeromycota; Glomeromycetes; Glomerales; Glomeraceae. The record is from RNAcentral.
CAUGGAGGGUGAGAAUCCCGUCCGGCCAACUUUUUGACGCUUUACGAUACACUUUCAAAGAGUCGAGUUGUUUGGGAUUGCAGCUCAAAAUGGGAGGUAAAUUUCUCCUAAGGCUAAAUAUUGGCGAGAGACCGAUAGCGAACAAGUACCGUGAGGGAAAGAUGAAAAGAACUUUGAAAAGAGAGUAAAAUAGUACGUGAAAUUGUUGAAAGGGAAACGAUUGAAGUCAGUCGUACCGACGAUAAAUCAGCUCCUCGAGUGCGGACUUGCGGGCGUGCGUGAGCUUUAAAACCUCGCUGUUUGCAACGUUUGUACUUCUUGGGUGUACUUUUUCGUAUGGUAGGCCAACGUCAGUUUCGAUUACCAUAAAAUGACCGGAGGAAUGUAGCUUCGAUCUCGUAUUGAAGUGUUAUAGCCCCUGGUAGAUGUGGUGACUGAAACUGAGGAUUGCAACGAAUACCCUUUGGGCUAUCCGUCUGAUCUCUGAAAGUUGCUUAGGUGCCGAAAGCGUGCUUACGGUUAUUUAAGUUGACGGUCAAUAGGUUAGAACGUGAUUACAUUCGUUAAGGAUGUUGACGUA